UACAGAGGUCUCGAGCGUUGUUCGGAUUCAUUGGGCGUAAAGGGUGCGUAGGUGGCGCUGUAAGUCGGGUGUGAAAUCCUGAGGCUUAACCUCGGAACUGCAUUCGAUACUGCGGUGCUUGAGGACUGGAGAGGAGACUGGAAUUUACGGUGUAGCAGUGAAAUGCGUAGAGAUCGUAAGGAAGACCAGUGGCGAAGGCGGGUCUCUGGACAGUUCCUGACACUGAGGCACGAAGGCCAGGGGAGCAAACGGG
This 253-nucleotide ribosomal RNA is filed under the name uncultured bacterium. RNAcentral describes it as "partial 16S ribosomal RNA". It matches the Rfam family "Bacterial small subunit ribosomal RNA", at positions 524 to 776 of the family's 1533-position model. The record is from RNAcentral.